AAUAAGUGUAGUUUUACACUGAUUAUCUCCAACAUUUGAUCGUUCGUCUUAUUUGAAAAUUUUUUAUGAUUAGUAUUUUUGUUGUUACUAGAUAAUAAAAUAUAAAUAGUACUUUAUGUGUGACUAAUUUUUUUUAACUUUUUCAUAAUUUUUUUAAAUAAGACGGACGAUCAAACGUUAGAUACGAAUAUCUAUAGCUGCGCUUAUU
This is a non-coding RNA of Oryza meridionalis, 208 nucleotides long. Lineage: Eukaryota; Viridiplantae; Streptophyta; Magnoliopsida; Poales; Poaceae. The record is from Rfam.